CGGUGAUAUUUUAUCUACUAAAGAGAGCUUAGAAGAAAAGACACUAAAAAUAAAGCAACAAAAUAUAGAGUAUGAUUAUCAAAAAAAAUAAAGAUAUGUUUCAAUAAAGGUGUGAAAAAGUACUAAAAAACAAAAAGCGAAAAAGAAAAAAAGGAUUACACCAUCUAUACUUGAUAGGCAAGCCCUACGUAUUGUAUUUAUUCUUUACUCUUUAAGUGUUGCCCCGUCAGCAGUCUAUUCAUUUGCUUUCAUAUAAAAUGGGUAGGAUGAUGGCCUUUUGAUUGUAUACCUCAAAAGCAAUUGCUGCUUGUAUAGUUAAUCCAUCUUAAUUUUCAAGGAAUGCUAUACACUAAAAAAUAUUGCGAGCUUACCACAAAGAUCGAUAUUACAUUUUUACACACACGUAACGUUCAAAUCUACCGAGAUCACUGUCUGUAUUAGUGAAACCCAUUAAUUUACUUUAUACUAAAUAGCGAUGCCUAAUCCCUACGCUCUUUAGCAUCCUUCGUAAUCACCUUGGUUUCCCGCAUGCUCCGCGCAACUGGUUCCCGCCAAUGGCGAUCGUUUAAUGACUUUCAAAUGACAUCAGCUACCUCGUGUCGAGCGAGUAUCCUUCUAGCGCAAUAUGACGAAUGCUAUCGCCUAGUCAAAGCUAAAGGAGAUAGUGCGUGGAAAACCUUGAAUGUGCUGAUAUACACGGCAAAUGGUCGCUUUGAAAAAAUUUAAAAGAAGCAUUAGUACAGCAUAUAUAAAGUUUUUUUUACUCAAACAUGUUUCUUAAAAUAUUUUUUAUUAUUUUAAUAUUUAACUAGAUGCUUCUAGACUGUACCAUUUUUACACAGUCGGGGUCCGGGAUAGCGUUCCGUCAUCGCGCCGAAAAUGUUGAUCCGUGAUUGUAUAUAAGAAGCGCUUCCCGUCAAAUUUUUCGUUCCAUUAAAAAGGGAGUUUUUGACUAACGUCUUA
This is a non-coding RNA of Schizosaccharomyces pombe (fission yeast), 963 nucleotides long. The record is from the annotation of a GenBank genome assembly. Lineage: Eukaryota; Fungi; Ascomycota; Schizosaccharomycetes; Schizosaccharomycetales; Schizosaccharomycetaceae.